This is a long non-coding RNA of Lutra lutra (Eurasian river otter), 345 nucleotides long. RefSeq lists it as uncharacterized. NCBI's taxonomy places the organism in Eukaryota, Metazoa, Chordata, Mammalia, Carnivora, Mustelidae. The transcript is spliced from 3 exons. The record is from RefSeq and is a predicted model, not a curated record.
CUGGUCCUUCUGAAUGGUGGCGCUGAUUCCCGCCAAAUUUCAAAGGCCCAGUCACCAUUAGACGGUGCAGAGAGUGAUAUUUAAGUUGAGACCCGAGCAACUAAGAGGAAUCAGCCAUGAGAAGAUCCGAGGGGGAGCAAUCCAAACGGAGGGAAAAGCAACCACAAAGUCCCUAGAGCAUGAAGAAACUGGGUGUUUUGAAGCUGCAGAAAAGAAAGCCAGCGUGACUGGGGCAUGAGUUACUGGGGAAACCGCUGAAGAUACGACAAUAACGGCGGAGCAGCACCGCAACGUGUACGGGGUGCUUAUGGGGUGGCGGGGAGCCCAGCGGAGCCCCCCGGGUGG